Molecule: ribosomal RNA, 824 nt
Filed under: uncultured bacterium
Lineage: Bacteria
Description: bacterial SSU rRNA
Rfam family: Bacterial small subunit ribosomal RNA
Source: RNAcentral
CCCUUAGAGUUUGAUCCUGGCUCAGAACGAACGCUGGCGGCGCGCCUAAUACAUGCAAGUCGAGCGAGAAGACGUAGCAAUACGUUUGUAAAGCGGCGAACGGGUGAGGAAUACAUGGGUAACCUACCCUCGAGUGGGGAAUAACUAGCCGAAAGGUUAGCUAAUACCGCAUACGACUCUUGGUCUGCGGAUCGAGAGGGAAAGCGAUACCGUGGGUAUCGCGCUCUUGGAUGGGCUCAUGUCCUAUCAGCUUGUUGGUGAGGUAACGGCUCACCAAGGCUUCGACGGGUAGCUGGUCUGAGAGGACGAUCAGCCACACUGGCACUGCGACACGGGCCAGACUCCUACGGGAGGCAGCAGUAAGGAAUAUUGCGCAAUGGGCGACAGCCUGACGCAGCGACGCCGCGUGGGGGAUGAAGGUCUUCGGAUUGUAAACCCCUUUCGGCAGGGAAGAUGGAACGGGAAACCGUUCGGACGGUACCUGCAGAAGCAGCCACGGCUAACUUCGUGCCAGCAGCCGCGGUAAUACGAAGGUGGCAAGCGUUGUUCGGAUUUACUGGGCGUACAGGGAGCGUAGGCGGUUGGGUAAGCCCUCCGUGAAAUCUCCGGGCCUAACCCGGAAAGUGCGGAGGGGACUGCUCGGCUAGAGGAUGGGAGAGGAGCGCGGAAUUCCCGGUGUAGCGGUGAAAUGCGUAGAGAUCGGGAGGAAGCCGGUGGCGAAGCGGCGCUCUGGAACAUUUCUGACGCUGAGCUCGAAAGCGUGGGGAGCAAACAGAUAGAUACCUGGUAGUCACGCCUUAACGAUGGAUACUAAGUGUCGCGGG